This 3785-nucleotide long non-coding RNA is filed under the name Homo sapiens (human). RNAcentral describes it as "HSALNT0197555". The record is from RNAcentral. Lineage: Eukaryota; Metazoa; Chordata; Mammalia; Primates; Hominidae.
CGUCUCACGUGAACCCGGAGGUGCUCUGUGGUUCCCCAAGGGGCGGAGCCUGCGCUGCUGGGGUCUGGGAUGGAGGGGCUUUGCACUGGACCACCUGAGCUAUCCAGGGUGUGGGGCUCCAUAGAGGCCCAGAUAGGGGCUCAGGGACCUCCAGCCAGGGCAGAAGAGCUCAGGGGUGGUUUCCUGGCUCUCUGCAGUGAGUAGGGUGUUAGAAGGCACCAAAACAAGGCCCCUCCCCCUUGGAUCUGCAGGACAUGGGCUGGUCGUAUGUCAGCUGUUGCUGCCACAGAAGUCAGGCUUCCAGGGGUGGAGUGAGCCCUGGGGUGACCUGGUGAUUCUGCAGCCACUGUGACAAGGCAUGGAGUGUCUUACGGGUCCCCUGCGGUCCAGUGUUAGAGCACCAAGUUACGUAACCCAUGUGACCCUGGGCUUCCCAACACGGCGCAGGCUUUCCCGUAGACCCUCCUUCACGCUGGAGCCCCUUUGACAGGAAGGGUGAGAUCAAAGGAAUCCUUCUCUCCAUGAGGAAUGCCGGCGCUUGCAGCAGCUGCUCUGCGAGGGCCCGCAUGUUUGCAGACCCGGACCUCAGGAAGGGAAUGCAGGUGACCACAGCAGCGCAUUCGGGAAGGUUCGGGGCCAGCUGGCGGCCACAUGAGGAGCCUGCCCUCCCAGGAGCAACGGUCCAUCUGCCUGUCAGAAAGAAGACCCAGACACAGUCCCGGAUGCAACCAUGACUCUCAGCACCAAGGCAUCCCCCCUUCAGCGUUCAGAAUGUGAGUCCAUGCUUUUCAGACACUGACAUCUGAGUCUGUCCAUCAGCAGCAAAGCAGCCUCCUUAAGUAGCUCCCACAGGACCCGGACACACACACACACACACACACACACACACACAUACACACACACACACACACGCGCGCAUCCAACCCCAUCAGCAGCAAAACAGCCUCCUUAAAUAGCUCCCGCAGGACCCAGACACACACACACACACACACACACACACACGUGUCCAACCCCGUGGCAGUGAUUUAGAAGCCAAACCCCAGGUACCUCUCAGUCAAAUAUUUCAGGAGUGCCGGCAACCAAGUAAUCACCCUAGAUUCAAAGUGAGGAGAGAAACUGCAGCUUCCAACCUCUUUAAAAUUGCCAGAGGAUGUCAAAGGCAUGGAGUGGGGUGGGCGGUCUCAGUUCUGUUACCAACGCUGUGAGUGACCCGUGUCCUUCAUGGGGAGCUGAGCCUGGGACUGCUGUGCAUGCAGGGUGGGAAAUCCAGACUGAUGGCCUGAGUCCUCCAGCAGCGCGUGGGGUGCAGAGCCCCAGGGGUCAAGGGCAGGGCUUCGGGAUUAUUGAUCUUCGAGGACAGAUCCAAGGCUGGGUCACCCUCUCAGGGGGUGGCUGUCCUGGGUUUACCUGCAGUGCCUGGGGGUCUGACAGCCCUAAAACAAGCCCCCUCUACCUCUUAGAUCUGGGCUCAGGGCACCUUUCAGUACUGGGGCUGUUGCUGCCAUGGGCAUCUGGGCUCCUGGGUUAAAAACGGAAUGGGCAGUUUUUCAAAUUUUGAUAAGUGCUGUCGGUUUGAUGACAUAUCACAAUGGCCACAGGUAAUGGAAUCCACAUAGGGGCUUCACUUCUCAUCAUUCCAGCACCCCCCACCGUGUGUGGAAAUGCACCUUCUCUUCUCCUGGGAGACGUUCCUCCCAUCCAACUGUCUGGUUCCAGGAAGAUACUGUGCUCAUACAUGACUCCGCCCCCAUAGCCACCACUGAUUGGUCUAUGGGUGGUCACCUCACCCCAGAUUGGCCUUUCUGGGACUUUUCAAACUGGAACUGACAUGAAGCCAAGAGGAGGAAGAGACCGCAUGUUUUCUGGCAUAUGGAGAAGGCUGAUCUACCAUGACAAAGAGUUAAGACAAUCUCAUUAGAAGGCAGAGGAGGUGGGGCUGGACCACCCAGGGCCGGCUGCUCUGACGCUCACCUGCACAUCUGACCUGCUCUUUGGCUGCACAACCUGAGUCCAAGAGCAGACCCACAGGGCUCCCUGCAGAGAGUUCAAAGCAGAGGCUAUUUACAGAGGUCCAAGUAGGGGUGGGGAACCUGCAUCCCACGAACUGGAUAAGCAGGGAAACUGUUAUCCACCACAAGCCCCAGGGCACAGGUGUGGGGCUUUGUUUCUGGAAUGCAGGGAGGGUUGUAACUCUGGGAGAGGGGUCACCUGGCAGGAUCUGAGAUCUUAUUUGGGGAAAAACUUCACUGCUAAACAUCAGUCAGGCAGGGGCAAUACCUGCUCCAACUUCUGUCUUCUCCCAUCUUAGGCUUCUCCUGGGGACUCUCAUCAGUCAAAUCCAACAGAAUCCAGAGGGCAGGGAGCCCCACUGGUGCCAUUUAUAGAGGUCAGCCUGUGGGCACAGUGAGGUCAGAGAAGGGCACGGAAUCGAUGCAGAGGGGCAGUCAAAGAGUAACUUGUGCAAAACAACCCUUCUUGGAUUCCUUGAGUCAGUAAAUGUUCCCAUUGGUCUUAGCAUUUCUGAGUUGCAUUUCUCUUAUUUGACUCCAAAACUCCUGUUCUGUAAGUAACUCCCCAAAGACAGUAAGUUUCUCAAACCAGUUACUAAAUCAAGUAUAGGGGCUGGUGAAGCUAAGUGAUGCUUGUUGCAUGGCUAGAUGAGAAGGCGAGAAAGCACUGUGGAGGCUCCAUCAAUGUUAGAUAGAUGCUGCCCUGGUUUCAUCAUCUGCUACCUACCCUUAGGCAGUUUCUUUGUUAAAGCAUCUUAUGAUCUUGCCCAAGAUUACCUGUGAUAGAGUAUGAAGGCCCUUGGUGGCACAACCCCUCUUUUCAUGGUCUUUUAUAAAACCAGCUGCCCAGCAGUGCCUGAGACUGAGCAGACAUUCAAUUCAUGUUGUUUGAAUGAAGGGACAGACGAGUUGAUGAUGGAUAGAUGAUGAAUGGAUGGAUGGAUGGACGGAUGGGUAAGUAAAUGGAUAGAAGAGGAAAUGGAUAAAUAAGUAAAUGAGUAGAUGGGUGGAUGGGUGAUGGAUGAAUGACAAAUUGAUGGAUGCAUGAAUGAGUAGAUAGAUGUGUGAAUGACAAAUGGAUGAGUAUGUGGGUGGGUGAAUGAAUAAAUAAAUGGGUAGAUUGGUGGAUAGGUGAAUGAAUGGAUGAUGAAUGUACAGACAUGUGGAUGGGUGAAUAAUUGGGUGGAUGAUUGAUAGAUGCUAGCGACUGUUUCCACACCAUCAGGAAGCCAUGUGCCCUCUAAGAUAAUUAGGGGCUGAGACUUCAGAAAGUCAGUGUCCCAACUCAUCUCUGUGAGCCUUCCAGCUCCACUCCCAUCCUCCAGCAACUUCCCCCUGGGAGGACCUUGACCACGAGAAGUCCUUAUUUCAUAAUCUCACCAAGAUGAGCAGCUGACCAUCCCUGGAGGGCUUCACGUUGAGUAAUUGCACUUAUAGUUCCAAAACAUCCUCUUGAACUGAGCUUUGCCAAGGGCUGUUUCUAACUGUAGUUCAUAUUUUGUUGCAUAAGUUUAACAAGUGCUGGUCUCUCCUAGUUUUAGUAUGGAAGUCUGUGGAUCUCAGAGCAGCUCAAUUGGCAAUUAAAAUCCAGGAAGUGGUGAGGUGUCUAGUGUGUGCUGAUGUGGAGAAUGAAUGGACCCAGGAGAAGUCAGGUGAAGGGUCCUUCACAGUGGACCUGAACCAAGGCGCCUAUUCAAGCUCAGACUCUCACUCACUAUGGGGGACUUUAAAGCAGGCAUUUAACAAUCACCUUUUCACCUUUUAAGAACAAACUAG